UGUUAAAAAUUUCAUCAUUCUACUGUUAAAAACUGAUUUGACUAAUGGAAUAAUCAAACAAUUACACAUAACGUGCCACAUGUAACUUAUUCUAGUGUACAAGGACCAGUUCAUAACAGUAAAAGUUAAUUUAUUUUUUUAAUG
Non-coding RNA from Gossypium raimondii (Peruvian cotton), 144 nucleotides. Lineage: Eukaryota; Viridiplantae; Streptophyta; Magnoliopsida; Malvales; Malvaceae. The record is from Rfam.